RNAcentral lists this ribosomal RNA (465 nucleotides) under uncultured bacterium. Its description in RNAcentral is "bacterial SSU rRNA". It matches the Rfam family "Bacterial small subunit ribosomal RNA", at positions 1 to 507 of the family's 1533-position model. The record is from RNAcentral.
CGUACGAUACGAUUUUGAUCCUGGCUCAGAACGAACGCUGGCGGCAGGCUUAACACAUGCAAGUCGAACGCUCGUAGCAAUACGGGAGUGGCGGACGGGUGAGUAACGCGUGGGAACGUGCCCUGAGGUACGGAAUAACUGCGGGAAACUGCAGCUAAUACCGUAUGAGCCCCGUGAGGGGAAAGAUUUAUCGCCUUAGGAGCGGCCCGCGUCGGAUUAGCUAGUUGGUGGGGUAACGGCUUACCAAGGCUUCGAUCCGUAGCUGGUCUGAGAGGACGAUCAGCCACACUGGGACUGAGACACGGCCCAGACUCCUACGGGAGGCAGCAGUGGGGAAUCUUGCGCAAUGGGGGCAACCCUGACGCAGCCAUGCCGCGUGAAUGAUGAAGGCCUUAGGGUUGUAAAGUUCUUUUGCCCGUGACGAUGAUGACGGUAACGGGAGAAUAAGCUCCGGCUAACUUCGUG